This 30-nucleotide small RNA is filed under the name Bombyx mori (domestic silkworm). RNAcentral's name for it is "ovarian small RNA-30890". Lineage: Eukaryota; Metazoa; Arthropoda; Insecta; Lepidoptera; Bombycidae. The record is from RNAcentral.
UGAAGACUGAGCACUUGCCGCAGCUGCUGG